UACAGAGGGUGCAAGCGUUAAUCGGGAAUUACUGGGCGUAAAGCGCACGUAGGCGGUUUUUUAAGUCAGAUGUGAAAGCCCCCGGGCUCAACCUGGGAAUUGCAUUUUGAAAACUGGGGGAACUAGAGUGUGUGAGAGGGGGGGUAGAAUUCCAAGUGUAGCGGUGAAAAUGCGUAGAGAUUUGGAGGAAUACCAGUGGCGAAGGCGGCCCCCUGGCACAACACUGACGCUCAGGUGCGAAAAGCGUGGGGAGCAAACAGG
This 261-nucleotide ribosomal RNA is filed under the name uncultured bacterium. RNAcentral describes it as "partial 16S ribosomal RNA". It matches the Rfam family "Bacterial small subunit ribosomal RNA", at positions 524 to 776 of the family's 1533-position model. The record is from RNAcentral.